AUACCAUGAUGAGGGCACUUCCUUAACAACUAUUUGAAUCUCUCCCACACAUCAUAUAAUGAUUCCCCAUCCAUCUAAUAGAAUUUAUUAAUUUCUCCCCUUAACUU
Humulus lupulus (European hop) is the source of this 107-nucleotide small nucleolar RNA. The record is from RefSeq and is a predicted model, not a curated record. Lineage: Eukaryota; Viridiplantae; Streptophyta; Magnoliopsida; Rosales; Cannabaceae.